RNAcentral lists this ribosomal RNA (497 nucleotides) under uncultured bacterium. RNAcentral's name for it is "partial 16S ribosomal RNA". It matches the Rfam family "Bacterial small subunit ribosomal RNA", at positions 28 to 507 of the family's 1533-position model. The record is from RNAcentral.
GAUGAACGCUGGCGGCGUGCCUAAUACAUGCCAGUCGAGCGAACGGACGAGAAGCUUGCUUUUCUGAUGUUAGCGGCGGACGGGUGGGUAACACGUGGAUAACCUACCUAUAAGACUGGGAUAACUUCGGGAAACCGGAGCUAAUACCGGAUAAUAUUUUGAACCGCAUGGUUCAAAAGUGAAAGACGGUCUUGCUGUCACUUAUAGAUGGAUCCGCGCUGCAUUAGCUAGUUGGUAAGGUAACGGCUUACCAAGGCAACGAUGCAUAGCCGACCUGAGAGGGUGAUCGGCCACACUGGAACUGAGACACGGUCCAGACUCCUACGGGAGGCAGCAGUAGGGAAUCUUCCGCAAUGGGCGAAAGCCUGACGGAGCAACGCCGCGUGAGUGAUGAAGGUCUUCGGAUCGUAAAACUCUGUUAUUAGGGAAGAACAUAUGUGUAAGUAACUGUGCACAUCUUGACGGUACCUAAUCAGAAAGCCACGGCUAACUACGUG